Molecule: ribosomal RNA, 433 nt
Filed under: uncultured bacterium
Lineage: Bacteria
Description: partial 16S ribosomal RNA
Rfam family: Bacterial small subunit ribosomal RNA
Source: RNAcentral
AACGAACGCUGGCGGCAUGCCUAACACAUGCAAGUCGAACGAUACCUUCGGGUCUAGUGGCGCACGGGUGCGUAACGCGUGGAAACCUGCCCUUAGGUUCGGAAUAACUCCCCGAAAGGGGUGCUAAUACCGGAUAAUGUCUUCGGACCAAAGAUUUAUCGCCUUUGGAUGGGCCCGCGUUGGAUUAGCUAGUUGGUAGGGUAAAAGCCUACCAAGGCGACGAUCCAUAGCUGGUCUGAUAGGAUGAUCAGCCACGCUGGGACUGAGACACGGCCCAGACUCCUACGGGAGGCAGCAGUGGGGAAUAUUGGACAAUGGGCGAAAGCCUGAUCCAGCAAUGCCGCGUGAGUGAUGAAGGCCUUAGGGUUGUAAAGCUCUUUUAACCGGGAUGAUAAUGACAGUACCGGGAGAAUAAGCUCCGGCUAACUCCGUG